Molecule: long non-coding RNA, 1197 nt
Filed under: Marmota monax (woodchuck)
Lineage: Eukaryota; Metazoa; Chordata; Mammalia; Rodentia; Sciuridae
Source: RNAcentral
CUAUAGUUAAUAAUAAUGUGUUUUGAAAAACACUAUAAAAGUAGAUGGGGGGUGGGCUGGGACUGUAGCUCAGUGGCAGAGCACUUGCCUAGCAUGUGUGAGGCACUGGGUUCAAUCCUCAACAUCACAUAAAAAUAAACAAAUAAAAUAAAGGCAUACUGUCCCUCUUCAACUAAAAAAAAAAAAGUAGACGGGGGGAGUGUACCAGAGAUUGAACUCAGGAGCACUCAACCACUGAACCACAUCCCCAGCCUGAUUUUGUAUUUUAUUUAGAGACAGGAUCUCACUGAGUUGCUUAGUUUUUCUCUUUUAUUGAGGCUGGCUUUGAACUCACUAUCCUCUUGCCUCAGUCUCCAGAGCUGCUGAGAUUACAGGCAUGCACCACUGUGCCCAGUAUAAAGGUGGAUUUUAAAGUAUUUUUACCACAAAAAAAAAUAAUAAGAAUAUGAGGUAAUGCAUAUACCAAUUAGUUCUAUUGAGCACAUUGUAUACAUAUUUCACAACACCAGGUAACACACAAUAGAUUCACACAAUUUUUAUUUAUCAAGUAAAAAAAAAAUCCUAGUUUCACUGUUAAUCAUAAAAACUUUUAGAAUAUUUUGGUAAGGUAUAAAAAUAUUCUAGACUUGCUUACUUUUUUCACAUUACUUAUACUGAAGAAUAAUAGUAAACAUAAAGAAGUUAAAGGAAAAAAAUUGUCCAGGAAAUAUAGUUUCCUCUGCUAGCAAUUUUAUAGUCAACGUUUUAUAGUAAAUAAUAAUAGUGGAUUUUUACUUUCUAGGCUCCUAAAUAAAGGGUUGUUUCAUAGAAGCCUCUUUUUUCAAAAUUAGGAUAAGAGAUAGCAGAAAUGGAGAAAAGAAGAAAAAUCCCCCAAAACUCAGAAAGUGAGCAGCCAGUUCAUAAUGCACAGAGAGAUAUCCAAUAGUGAUAAUGAGCUGUGAAGCCAAAGAAGAUUCCUAGAAAAAUCAACAGUAUCAAGAUAUAGGGCCUGCUAAAGAGAAAGUUAGAUCCCACCUUCAAAAGAUCUAAGGCCAGUGGUGAACCAAAUCAAAUUGCAAAAAUACUGCCCUUCCAGUUCAAUAAGAGAUCAAAUUGAUUCUGUCCCCUUCUAGUAGGCUGAUACACAAAAAUGGUGUGCCCCUUUCUGAAAGCCAGUGUUGUUUGCUUCAGUCCAUACUAUUCGUUUAUAAAAUGUGC